RNAcentral lists this long non-coding RNA (563 nucleotides) under Musa acuminata (dwarf banana). Its description in RNAcentral is "long non-coding RNA (MACU_LNC005618)". Lineage: Eukaryota; Viridiplantae; Streptophyta; Magnoliopsida; Zingiberales; Musaceae. The record is from RNAcentral.
GCUCGCCUCGCUCGUGCGGCUCACCACGCUCGUCGUGCCGGCGGUCUUCCACACCUCCUGCGAGCUCCUGUCCCGGGACAGGAGCCCCUUGCAUGAUCGAAGAUCGGCGACGGGUGCGCCGCCUCCAUCCUCCUCGCACAACGUGGCGAUGAGCUCGACCUGGUGCGCGGCAAGGGACUGCAGCCGCCGCUUCCACUCCCGGUGGUUGGCGUAGGGCCGGGAGUCAGAGAGCACAAGCGAGAUGAACCGGAAGGUGAUCUCCAGGGCCUGCAGGGACGGCUUGAUGACGGACUCGUUGCUCCACUGUGAGAAGUUCUCGGAGCUCCAGAGCUUGGCGAGCUCGGGUAAGCGGAGGUAGUGCUCAUAAGCGGCAGUGGCGGAGGCAUCGUUGAUGAGCGGAGGUGCGGGGAUCGUCGCCGGGUGGGACUUCGAAUCAGAUGCCGGGGAUGACCUCGAGGAGAUCUCGGACGCUGCCAUCUUCGCUGCUGCAGUCGAUUCUUUCCUUUCGAGGAGGUAAGAAACAGAGAUAUAUAUAGACAGAAGGAUGUUUCUCCGUUAGAUAU